UGUGAGCUCGAUGAGUAGGGCGGGACACGUGGUAUCCUGUCUGAAUAUGGGGGGACCAUCCUCCAAGGCUAAAUACUCCUGACUGACCGAUAGUGAACCAGUACCGUGAGGGAAAGGCGAAAAGAACCCCGGCGAGGGGAGUGAAAAAGAACCUGAAACCGUGUACGUACAAGCAGUGGGAGCACGCUUAGGCGUGUGACUGCGUACCUUUUGUAUAAUGGGUCAGCGACUUAUAUUCUGUAGCAAGGUUAACCGAAUAGGGGAGCCGAAGGGAAACCGAGUCUUAACUGGGCGUUAAGUUGCAGGGUAUAGACCCGAAACCCGGUGAUCUAGCCAUGGGCAGGUUGAAGGUUGGGUAACACUAACUGGAGGACCGAACCGACUAAUGUUGAAAAAUUAGCGGAUGACUUGUGGCUGGGGGUGAAAGGCCAAUCAAACCGGGAGAUAGCUGGUUCUCCCCGAAAGCUAUUUAGGUAGCGCCUCGUGAAUUCAUCUCCGGGGGUAGAGCACUGUUUCGGCAAGGGGGUCAUCCCGACUUACCAACCCGAUGCAAACUGCGAAUACCGGAGAAUGUUAUCACGGGAGACACACGGCGGGUGCUAACGUCCGUCGUGAAGAGGGAAACAACCCAGACCGCCAGCUAAGGUCCCAAAGUCAUGGUUAAGUGGGAAACGAUGUGGGAAGGCCCAGACAGCCAGGAUGUUGGCUUAGAAGCAGCCAUCAUUUAAAGAAAGCGUAAUAGCUCACUGGUCGAGUCGGCCUGCGCGGAAGAUGUAACGGGGCUAAACCAUGCACCGAAGCUGCGGCAGCGACGCUGAUGCGUUGUUGGGUAGGGGAGCGUUCUGUAAGCCUGCGAAGGUGUGCUGUGAGGCAUGCUGGAGGUAUCAGAAGUGCGAAUGCUGACAUAAGUAACGAUAAAGCGGGUGAAAAGCCCGCUCGCCGGAAGACCAAGGGUUCCUGUCCAACGUUAAUCGGGGCAGGGUGAGUCGACCCCUAAGGCGAGGCCGAAAGGCGUAGUCGAUGGGAAACAGGUUAAUAUUCCUGUACUUGGUGUUACUGCGAAGGGGGGACGGAGAAGGCUAUGUUGGCCGGGCGACGGUUGUCCCGGUUUAAGCGUGUAGGCUGGUUUUCCAGGCAAAUCCGGAAAAUCAAGGCUGAGGCGUGAUGACGAGGCACUACGGUGCUGAAGCAACAAAUGCCCUGCUUCCAGGAAAAGCCUCUAAGCAUCAGGUAACAUCAAAUCGUACCCCAAACCGACACAGGUGGUCAGGUAGAGAAUACCAAGGCGCUUGAGAGAACUCGGGUGAAGGAACUAGGCAAAAUGGUGCCGUAACUUCGGGAGAAGGCACGCUGAUAUGUAGGUGAGGUCCCUCGCGGAUGGAGCUGAAAUCAGUCGAAGAUACCAGCUGGCUGCAACUGUUUAUUAAAAACACAGCACUGUGCAAACACGAAAGUGGACGUAUACGGUGUGACGCCUGCCCGGUGCCGGAAGGUUAAUUGAUGGGGUUAGCGCAAGCGAAGCUCUUGAUCGAAGCCCCGGUAAACGGCGGCCGUAACUAUAACGGUCCUAAGGUAGCGAAAUUCCUUGUCGGGUAAGUUCCGACCUGCACGAAUGGCGUAAUGAUGGCCAGGCUGUCUCCACCCGAGACUCAGUGAAAUUGAACUCGCUGUGAAGAUGCAGUGUACCCGCGGCAAGACGGAAAGACCCCGUGAACCUUUACUAUAGCUUGACACUGAACAUUGAGCCUUGAUGUGUAGGAUAGGUGGGAGGCUUAGAAGUGUGGACGCCAGUCUGCAUGGAGCCGACCUUGAAAUACCACCCUUUAAUGUUUGAUGUUCUAACGUUGACCCGUAAUCCGGGUUGCGGACAGUGUCUGGUGGGUAGUUUGACUGGGGCGGUCUCCUCCUAAAGAGUAACGGAGGAGCACGAAGGUUGGCUAAUCCUGGUCGGACAUCAGGAGGUUAGUGCAAUGGCAUAAGCCAGCUUGACUGCGAGCGUGACGGCGCGAGCAGGUGCGAAAGCAGGUCAUAGUGAUCCGGUGGUUCUGAAUGGAAGGGCCAUCGCUCAACGGAUAAAAGGUACUCCGGGGAUAACAGGCUGAUACCGCCCAAGAGUUCAUAUCGACGGCGGUGUUUGGCACCUCGAUGUCGGCUCAUCACAUCCUGGGGCUGAAGUAGGUCCCAAGGGUAUGGCUGUUCGCCAUUUAAAGUGGUACGCGAGCUGGGUUUAGAACGUCGUGAGACAGUUCGGUCCCUAUCUGCCGUGGGCGCUGGAGAACUGAGGGGGGCUGCUCCUAGUACGAGAGGACCGGAGUGGACGCAUCACUGGUGUUCGGGUUGUCAUGCCAAUGGCACUGCCCGGUAGCUAAAUGCGGAAGAGAUAAGUGCUGAAAGCAUCUAAGCACGAAACUUGCCCCGAGAUGAGUUCU
Molecule: ribosomal RNA, 2429 nt
Filed under: Escherichia coli
Lineage: Bacteria; Pseudomonadati; Pseudomonadota; Gammaproteobacteria; Enterobacterales; Enterobacteriaceae
Description: bacterial LSU rRNA
Rfam family: Bacterial large subunit ribosomal RNA
Source: RNAcentral